GACGAACGCUGGCGGCGUGCUUAACACAUGCAAGUCGAACGGAAAGGCCCUGCUUUUGUGGGGUGCUCGAGUGGCGAACGGGUGAGUAACACGUGAGUAACCUGCCCUUGACUUUGGGAUAACUUCAGGAAACUGGGGCUAAUACCGGAUAGGAGCUCCUGCUGCAUGGUGGGGGUUGGAAAGUUUCGGCGGUUGGGGAUGGACUCGCGGCUUAUCAGCUUGUUGGUGGGGUAGUGGCUUACCAAGGCUUUGACGGGUAGCCGGCCUGAGAGGGUGACCGGCCACAUUGGGACAGAGAAAGGGCCCAGACCCCUAGGGGAGGCAGGAGGGGGGAAUUGUGCACAAGGGGCGGAAGCGAGAUGGAGAAACCCCGGGGGGGGGAUGGCGGCCUUCGGUUGGUAAACCCUUUUCGCCUGGGACGAAGGGGGAGUGAGGGUAAGGGGAAAAGGAACACCGGCAAACUACGG
RNAcentral lists this ribosomal RNA (467 nucleotides) under uncultured bacterium. RNAcentral's name for it is "partial 16S ribosomal RNA". It matches the Rfam family "Bacterial small subunit ribosomal RNA", at positions 28 to 506 of the family's 1533-position model. The record is from RNAcentral.